UACGGAGGGUGCAAGCGUUGCUCGGAAUUAUUGGGCGUAAAGGGUAGGUAGGUGGUCUUAUUUGUCUGGGGUGGAAGCCUUGAGCUUAACUCAAGAAGUGCCUCAGAAACGGUAAGACUAGAGUCCUGGAGAGGGUCGUGGAAUUCCCGGUGUAGCGGUGAAAUGCGUAGAGAUCGGGAGGAACACCUGCGGCGAAGGCGGGUUGCUGGGCUGACACUGACGCUGAUGCGCGAAAGCCAGGGGAGCAAACGGG
RNAcentral lists this ribosomal RNA (253 nucleotides) under uncultured prokaryote. Its description in RNAcentral is "partial 16S ribosomal RNA". It matches the Rfam family "Bacterial small subunit ribosomal RNA", at positions 524 to 776 of the family's 1533-position model. The record is from RNAcentral.